RNAcentral lists this ribosomal RNA (230 nucleotides) under Craugastor megacephalus. Its description in RNAcentral is "partial large subunit ribosomal RNA". It matches the Rfam family "Archaeal large subunit ribosomal RNA", at positions 1991 to 2221 of the family's 2987-position model. Lineage: Eukaryota; Metazoa; Chordata; Amphibia; Anura; Craugastoridae. The record is from RNAcentral.
GACCCACGUUUCAACGGCCGCGGGUAUCCUGACCACGCGAAGGUAGCGUAAUCAAUUGUCUCUUAAAUGGGGACUUGUAUGAAUGGCAUCACGAGGAUUUAACUGUCUCCCCUCUCUAAUCUGUGAAACUAAUCCCCCUGUGAAAAAGCAGGGAUACCCCUAUAAGACGAGAAGACCCUGUGGAACUUUAAACAAGUAACAAUUGCCUCUCCCCUCCCCCCUCCCAGGAG